CCUACGGGAGGCAGCAGUAGGGAAUCUUCCGCAAUGGACGAAAGUCUGACGGAGCAAUGCCGCGUGAGUGAAGAAGGUUUUCGGAUCGUAAAACUCUGUUGUUAGAGAAGAACAAGGAUGAGAGUAACUGCUCAUCCCCUGACGGUAUCUAACCAGAAAGCCACGGCUAACUACGUGCCAGCAGCCGCGGUAAUACGUAGGUGGCAAGCGUUGUCCGGAUUUAUUGGGCGUAAAGCGAGCGCAGGCGGUUCUUUAAGUCUGAUGUGAAAGCCCCCAGCUCAACUGGGGAAGGUCAUUGGAAACUGGGGAACUUGAGUGCAGAAGAGGAGAGUGGAAUUCCACGUGUAGCGGUGAAAUGCGUAGAUAUGUGGAGGAACACCAGUGGCGAGGGCGACUCUCUGGUCUGUAACUGACGCUGAGGCUCGAAGGCGUGGGGAGCAAACAGGAUUAGAUACCCUGGUAGUCCACGCCGUAAACGAUGAGUGCUAAGUGUUGGGGGGUUUCCGCCCCUCAGUGCUGCAGCUAACGCAUUAAGCACUCCGCCUGGGGAGUACGGCCGCAAGGCUGAAACUCAAAGGAAUUGACGG
This 587-nucleotide ribosomal RNA is filed under the name uncultured bacterium. Its description in RNAcentral is "bacterial SSU rRNA". It matches the Rfam family "Bacterial small subunit ribosomal RNA", at positions 338 to 916 of the family's 1533-position model. The record is from RNAcentral.